RNAcentral lists this ribosomal RNA (795 nucleotides) under uncultured Pelagibacteraceae bacterium. RNAcentral describes it as "bacterial SSU rRNA". It matches the Rfam family "Bacterial small subunit ribosomal RNA", at positions 42 to 885 of the family's 1533-position model. Lineage: Bacteria; Pseudomonadati; Pseudomonadota; Alphaproteobacteria; Candidatus Pelagibacterales; Candidatus Pelagibacteraceae. The record is from RNAcentral.
GCACGCCUAACACAUGCAAGUCGAACGAAGUAGCAAUACUUAGUGGCAGACGGGUGAGUAACAUGUGGGUAUCUACCCUUUGGCCUGGAAUAACACGAGGAAACUUGUGCUAAUACUGGAUAAGUCUUUACGGAGAAAGCUUUAUGCACCAUUGGAUGAGCCUGCACUUGAUUAGUUUGUUGGUAGGGUAAUGGCCUACCAAGGCUUUGAUCAAUAGCUGAUUUGAGAGGAUGAUCAGCCACAUUGGGACUGAGACACGGCCCAAACUCCUACGGGAGGCAGCAGUGGGGAAUCUUGCACAAUGGAGGAAACUCUGAUGCAGCGAUGCCGCGUGAGUGAAGAAGGCCUUUGGGUUGUAAAGCUCUUUCGUCGGGGAAGAAAAUGACUGUACCCGAAUAAGAAGGUCCGGCUAACUUCGUGCCAGCAGCCGCGGUAAUACGAAGGGACCUAGCGUAGUUCGGAAUUACUGGGCUUAAAGAGUUCGUAGGUGGUUGAAAAAGUUGGUGGUGAAAUCCCAGAGCUUAACUCUGGAACUGCCAUCAAAACUUUUCAGCUAGAGUUUGAUAGAGGAAAGCAGAAUUUCUAGUGUAGAGGUGAAAUUCGUAGAUAUUAGAAAGAAUACCAAUUGCGAAGGCAGCUUUCUGGAUCAUUACUGACACUGAGGAACGAAAGCAUGGGUAGCGAAGAGGAUUAGAUACCCUCGUAGUCCAUGCCGUAAACGAUGUGUGUUAGACGUUGGAAAUUUAUUUUCAGUGUCGCAGCGAAAGCGAUAAACACACCGCCUGGGGAGUACGA